Long non-coding RNA from Physeter macrocephalus (sperm whale), 1037 nucleotides. RefSeq lists it as uncharacterized. The record is from RefSeq and is a predicted model, not a curated record. NCBI's taxonomy places the organism in Eukaryota, Metazoa, Chordata, Mammalia, Artiodactyla, Physeteridae. The transcript has 6 exons.
CUCGGCGCCAUUUUGUCUGGGCAGCGGUGGCCGCAGGUCUACAGCAUUUUAUGUUUCUGGCGAGACGAGAGCGGAAUGUUCAUCCCGUGGAUUCAUGUAACUGCGGCAGCCAUCCACCGUUCCCUCCAGGACAGCACCUAGUGAAGAUCAGAAGAGUAGCGAUCUGUCAGAAAGGUCAGUUGGAAGCGGUAGUUGUCCGGUGGACUGGGGGAUGGCGCAGCUCUAGCGGCACCGGCACCGGAAGUGAGGGGGCCGCGCGUCAGCCAUAGCAGAUUGGUCUGAAGAAAAGAGGACAGUUAAGUGACAAACUUCCGGAAGUAUUACUGAGUCUUUGUCUUCUAGAGGAAGCCUCACUUUGUGGAAUAAUGAAGGAAAGUGUUCCAGUUUUUAAAUGGCUUGGAUCUGCUCUCUGUUGAAAUUGUAUUUCUGCUCCCUGGCUCUUUGUCCACCCUCAUGUUGGAAAUGGUGAGAGAACUGAUGCUGAAUCAUAAGUAUGAUCCAUUGUAGACAUCUAAAUUUUUGCAUUGAAUCUUUACUAUCACUUGGUUGCUGCUCUUAAACCAGUCGGUCUACUAAAGGUUCCUUUGAGAAUGAUAGAAAUGAAAGCAAAGGGAUAGUCUUAUCAGAUAAGUGCUUUUUUAUCUGAAUGUAUUCGGUUUUUUCCAUAACGUGGCUUUAGUAGCACUUAGUUGUCUUUAAUUUCAUUCGAAACAAUUUUGUUAGAUUGUAUUGUGACAGUUGUCAUAUCAGCGUACAUUUUUUUUAAAAAGCAUCAAAAUUGGUGAAUUUUUGUGUAGCCAUUUUAAUAUUGAAGAUGGAAGGAAAAAAAGCAACAGCAUGUUAUGCUUUAUUAUUUCAAGAAAGGUAAAAACACAACUGAAAGGCAAAAAAAGAUUUGUGCAGUGUAUGGAAAAGGUGCUGUGACUGAAUAUGUCAAAAGUGGUUUGCAACGUUUUGUGGUAGAGAGUUCUGGCUGGACGAUGCUCCAUGGUCGGGGAGACCAGUUCAAGUUGAUAGCAAUUAAAUUGAGACGUAAA